CGGGUGCCUAAUACUUGCAAGUCGAGCGGACAGAUGGGAGCUUGCUCCCUGAUGUUAGCGGCGGACGGGUGAGUAACACGUGGGUAACCUGCCUGUAAGACUGGGAUAACUCCGGGAAACCGGGGCUAAUACCGGAUGGUUGUUUGAACCGCAUGGUUCAAACAUAAAAGGUGGCUUCGGCUACCACUUACAGAUGGACCCGCGGCGCAUUAGCUAGUUGGUGAGGUAACGGCUCACCAAGGCAACGAUGCGUAGCCGACCUGAGAGGGUGAUCGGCCACACUGGGACUGAGACACGGCCCAGACUCCUACGGGAGGCAGCAGUAGGGAAUCUUCCGCAAUGGACGAAAGUCUGACGGAGCAACGCCGCGUGAGUGAUGAAGGUUUUCGGAUCGUAAAGCUCUGUUGUUAGGGAAGAACAAGUACCGUUCGAAUAGGGCGGUACCUUGACGGUACCUAACCAGAAAGCCACGGCUAACUACGUGCCAGCAGCCGCGGUAAUACGUAGGUGGCAAGCGUUGUCCGGAAUUAUUGGGCGUAAAGGGCUCGCAGGCGGUUUCUUAAGUCUGAUGUGAAAGCCCCCGGCUCAACCGGGGAGGGUCAUUGGAAACUGGGGAACUUGAGUGCAGAAGAGGAGAGUGGAAUUCCACGUGUAGCGGUGAAAUGCGUAGAGAUGUGGAGGAACACCAGUGGCGAAGGCGACUCUCUGGUCUGUAACUGACGCUGAGGAGCGAAAGCGUGGGGAGCGAACAGGAUUAGAUACCCUGGUAGUCCACGCCGUAAACGAUGAGUGCUAAGUGUUAGGGGGUUUCCGCCCCUUAGUGCUGCAGCUAACGCAUUAAGCACUCCGCCUGGGGAGUACGGUCGCAAGACUGAAACUCAAAGGAAUUGACGGGGGCCCGCACAAGCGGUGGAGCAUGUGGUUUAUUCCUAAGCACGCGAAGACCUUACCAGUCUUGACAUCCUCUGACAUUCUAGAGAUAGGACGUCCCCUUCCGGGGCAGAGUGACAGGUG
Molecule: ribosomal RNA, 1014 nt
Filed under: Bacillus sp. (in: firmicutes)
Lineage: Bacteria; Bacillati; Bacillota; Bacilli; Caryophanales; Bacillaceae
Description: bacterial SSU rRNA
Rfam family: Bacterial small subunit ribosomal RNA
Source: RNAcentral